Molecule: ribosomal RNA, 372 nt
Filed under: uncultured bacterium
Lineage: Bacteria
Description: bacterial SSU rRNA
Rfam family: Bacterial small subunit ribosomal RNA
Source: RNAcentral
GCAUAACGCGAAGAACCUUACCAGGUCUUGACAUCCCUUUGACCGUCCUAGAGAUAGGGCUUUCCUUCGGGACAGAGGAGACAGGUGGUGCAUGGUUGUCGUCAGCUCGUGUCGUGAGAUGUUGGGUUAAGUCCCGCAACGAGCGCAACCCUUGAACUUAGUUGCCAGCGAGUCAGGUCGGGCACUCUAGGUUGACUGCCGGUGACAAAACCGGAGGAAGGCGGGGGAUGACGUCAAAUCAUCAUGCCCCUUAUGACCUGGGCUACACACGUACUACAAUGGCCGGUACAAAGGGCAGCGAAGCCGCGAGGUGGAGCCAAUCCCAGCAAAGCCGGUCUCAGUUCGGAUUGCAGGCUGCAACUCGCCUGCAUG